Molecule: long non-coding RNA, 1308 nt
Filed under: Rhinopithecus bieti (black snub-nosed monkey)
Lineage: Eukaryota; Metazoa; Chordata; Mammalia; Primates; Cercopithecidae
Description: lncRNA (ENSRBIG00000045778.1)
Source: RNAcentral
CCUGAAGCUUGCCAGUGAGGACAAGGAGCAGAAGCUGGCAUUCCUAGAGGAGGCACGGACAGCCGUGGGCAAGGAGGCCGGGGAGCUGUGAACUGGGCUGCAGGAGCUGGAGCGCUCGUGGCUGGAGGCUCGGCAGGAGCUGCAGGAGCUCCAGCAUCAGGCUUAUUUCAGUGGAAGCCCAUCUGCAAAAUCUGUUAUAAAUUUAAAUUGGAAAAUAACUACAAGUGCCAUUGACACGUUGGUUAUUGUUUUUGCGAGUGACCUAAGGCCACCUCUUGGGGUUGCUGGGGGCUGCCUUCUGAAGCCUGCACCUCUGCACCACGUACCUGGGCCUGGAAGUCAGACUCCCAGCGGUGCGGCAGCGCCAGGCCUGCAGUGCUAAGCGCGGGGUGGCUUCUGGCCUCCGAGGGGGUGUGUCUCCUGCCUCUUCAACCUGGCAGGGGCUGUUCAAGCGGACGCGAAAAUCAGCGAUUUGCAGAGUGGAGGGCUGGUGCUUUGAAAGAGAGGCCGGAGGGGAGAGAGGGAUUUCCCCAUCCCCGCUGCACUAGGUCCAUCCCCUCGCUUACUCCUUUUCUGGGCCCGCGAGGCCCCUAACCUGCGGGAACCCUUAUGCAGUAGAGGUGGCCCGGUCCCUUUAAGACCCUGCCGCGCCUGCCCCUUGGGUUCUGACGCCAUCCUGAGGCGCCAGGCGAGGGCUGGGCGCCCGCGGGGGGCUGGGUGGUGGUUGAGACCGCGGUGGUACUGGGAGGGGUAGGUGAGGGUUGCGAGGCUGCCUGAGCUUCUGAGUGAGCAUGGCGCUUUUGGAACGCGGGACUGGCAACCUGCUGCGCCAGGAGCUGGACCGAGGCGCGGCGACGCGGCUGCCGGCUGCCCUCUGGAUGGGAAGUUAUGGCGAAGUCCACCCAGCCUUUCCGAGGCGGUGGAGGGACGGAGCAGCUUCGGGGGCACGUCCUCCUGUAUCCCGUAGAGGACACUGACCCUGGACCCCACCUUCAAGUCCAGAAAUCGGUUCCCUCUGCUUGCAAAGUUGGAGUCCUUAUUGGCCUCGGGGAUUCUGCUCCUGGCGGUGUCUCCAGGCUGGCGAUGGGCAAGCCAGGUGUGCCAGGUCCAGGAUGCACAUGAGGAGCGUUUGUGGCCAUCACCGAAUCACCUCAUGACUAGCGGGGCAAGCCUCAAAUUAACCGCAGGAUUUCCGGUCGGAUGGAUUGUGGGGUUGGUGUUUGCACUGCAAAGAGUUGCUGUGAUUUCUCUGUGUCUGUCUGUCUUUCUGGCUUCUUAGAUCAUCUCAUUUGGCAUCCUUUCACUGAA